This 580-nucleotide ribosomal RNA is filed under the name uncultured Bradyrhizobium sp. RNAcentral's name for it is "bacterial SSU rRNA". It matches the Rfam family "Bacterial small subunit ribosomal RNA", at positions 790 to 1368 of the family's 1533-position model. The record is from RNAcentral. Lineage: Bacteria; Pseudomonadati; Pseudomonadota; Alphaproteobacteria; Hyphomicrobiales; Nitrobacteraceae.
GUAGUCCACGCUGUAAACGAUGAAUGCCAGCCGUUAGUGGGUUUACUCACUAGUGGCGCAGCUAACGCUUUAAGCAUUCCGCCUGGGGAGUACGGUCGCAAGAUUAAAACUCAAAGGAAUUGACGGGGGCCCGCACAAGCGGUGGAGCAUGUGGUUUAAUUCGACGCAACGCGCAGAACCUUACCAGCCCUUGACAUCCCGGUCGCGGACUCCAGAGACGGAGUUCUUCAGUUCGGCUGGACCGGAGACAGGUGCUGCAUGGCUGCCGUCAGCUCGUGUCGUGAGAUGUUGGGUUAAGUCCCGCAACGAGCGCAACCCCCGUCCUUAGUUGCUACCAUUUAGUUGAGCACUCUAAGGAGACUGCCGGUGAUAAGCCGCGAGGAAGGUGGGGAUGACGUCAAGUCCUCAUGGCCCUUACGGGCUGGGCUACACACGUGCUACAAUGGCGGUGACAAUGGGAUGCUAAGGGGCGACCCUUCGCAAAUCUCAAAAAGCCGUCUCAGUUCGGAUUGGGCUCUGCAACUCGAGCCCAUGAAGUUGGAAUCGCUAGUAAUCGUGGAUCAGCAUGCCACGGUGAAUA